RNAcentral lists this ribosomal RNA (497 nucleotides) under uncultured bacterium. Its description in RNAcentral is "partial 16S ribosomal RNA". It matches the Rfam family "Bacterial small subunit ribosomal RNA", at positions 899 to 1397 of the family's 1533-position model. The record is from RNAcentral.
ACUCAAAUGAAUAGACGGGGGCCCGCACAAGCAGUGGAGCAUGUGGUUUAAUUCGAUGCAACGCGAAGAACCUUACCUGGGCUUGAACUGUGCUUGAAUAUAUUUGAAAGAGUAUAGCCGUAAGGCAAGUACAGAGGUGCUGCAUGGCUGUCGUCAGCUCGUGCCGUGAGGUGUUUGGUUAAGUCCAGCAACGAGCGCAACCCUUAUCGUUAGUUGCCAGCGAGUAAUGUCGGGAACUCUAGCGAGACUGCCGAGGUCAACUCGGAGGAAGGUGAGGAUGACGUCAAGUCCGCAUGGCCUUUAUGUCCAGGGCUACACACGUGCUACAAUGGUCGAUACAAAAGGUUGCCAAACCGCGAGGUGGAGCUAAUCCAAUAAAGUCGAUCUCAGUUCGGAUUGGAGUCUGCAACUCGACUCCAUGAAGUUGGAAUUGCUAGUAAUGGCGUGUCAGCUACAACGCCGUGAAUACGUUCCCGGGCCUUGUACACACCGCCCGU